UACGGAGGGAGCUAGCGUUGUUCGGAAUUACUGGGCGUAAAGCGCGCGUAGGCGGAUUUGCAAGUCGGGGGUGAAAUCCCGAGGCUCAACCUCGGAACUGCCUUCGAUACUGCAAAUCUCGAGUCCGGAAGAGGUGAGUGGAAUUCCUAGUGUAGAGGUGAAAUUCGUAGAUAUUAGGAAGAACACCAGUGGCGAAGGCGGCUCACUGGUCCGGUACUGACGCUGAGGCGCGAAAGCGUGGGGAGCAAACAGG
Molecule: ribosomal RNA, 253 nt
Filed under: uncultured bacterium
Lineage: Bacteria
Description: partial 16S ribosomal RNA
Rfam family: Bacterial small subunit ribosomal RNA
Source: RNAcentral